RNAcentral lists this RNase P RNA (362 nucleotides) under Chloroflexota bacterium. RNAcentral's name for it is "Chloroflexi bacterium RNase P RNA component class A". It matches the Rfam family "Bacterial RNase P class A". Rfam says of the family: Ribonuclease P (RNase P) is a ubiquitous endoribonuclease, found in archaea, bacteria and eukarya as well as chloroplasts and mitochondria. Its best characterised activity is the generation of mature 5'-ends of tRNAs by cleaving the 5'-leader elements of precursor-tRNAs. Cellular RNase Ps are ribonucleoproteins. The record is from RNAcentral. Lineage: Bacteria; Bacillati; Chloroflexota.
CAGGUUGGCCGGGCGGUCGCGGGCCCCGUUGUGGGCCUGAGGAAAGUCCGCGCUCCACAGGGCAGGGUGCUGGCUAACGGCCAGACGGGGCAACCCGAUGGACAGUGCAACAGAGAGGUAAAUUGCCACCAUUGGUGGUGAGGGUGAAACGGUGCGGUAAGAGCGCACCAGCGAGCCUGGUGACAGGUUCGGCUCGGCAAACCCCACCCGGAGCAAGGCCAAGCAGAGACCAGGUGCGGCCCGCACCUUAGGAGUCUCGGGUAGGCUGCUUGAGGCGGCUGGCAACAGCCGUCCCAGAUAGAUGAUCGCCCAUGCGACCUUAGGUCGCUGGACAGAACGCGGCUUAUAGGCCGACCUGAACG